RNA transcript from Otolemur garnettii (small-eared galago), 1637 nucleotides. It is a transcript of the gene named G-rich sequence factor 1 pseudogene, with no coding region annotated. The record is from RefSeq and is a predicted model, not a curated record. NCBI's taxonomy places the organism in Eukaryota, Metazoa, Chordata, Mammalia, Primates, Galagidae. The transcript has 2 exons.
AUGGUCAGUGUAGAGAACAGGGCUGUGGCGCAUGUGCCCAUCACUGGCCCUGGAGUCCGCUUUCUCUCUGCCCACACCGCCUUGGCUGGAGCCCAUGGCCAGGUCGCGCUGGUGCUCCCGGCGCUACUCCGCUGCUGCGGCUGCAACUGCAGCAGCUGCUGGCACGUGGGCGCCCACUGUGUGCCCUGCCACCCGGCCGCCAGUGCCUUCCCCGCUAGCGAGUCUGGCCCCGACUGCUGGUGCUGCUUAUGGCUGUGGCGGCUGCCACCUCGCACAUUUGCGGCUUCCAGCAUGGGCCUGCGCCUCCCUGGGACACUGUCCGGGCCUCCCCUCAUGGCCACUGCCUUCUACCCUGCCGUGCGAGUCCCACUGUUACAGCCCUCACUGGCGGUGCCUGCCCGCCGGUGCACGGAGCUACGACCAGGAGUCCAAAACUACCUACCUGGAAGACCUUCCACCACUCCCUGAAUACGAACUGGCCUGGUCCAAGCUAGGAGAGGAAGUGGAUGACGUUUAUCUCAUUCGAGCUCAGAGACUUCCCUGGUCACGCACUGUGGAAGAUGUGCUUGCUUUUUUCUCAGACUGCAGAAUCUGCAAUGGUGAGAAUGGAAUACAUUUCCUCUUAAACAGAGAUGGGAAAAGAAGAGGUGAUGCCUUAAUAGAAAUGGAGUCAGAGCAGGACGUGCAGAAAGCCUUAGAGAAGCACCACCUGUACGUGGGCCAGCGGUACAUGGAAAUAUAUGACAUAAACAAUGAAGAUGUAGGUGCCUUAAUGAAGAGCUUACAGGUCAAGUCUUCACCUGCAGUAAACAACAGUGUCAUGUGUUUGAGAGGACUUCCUUACAGUUGUGAUGAGAAAGACAUCAUAGAUUUCUUUGCAGGACUGAAUAUAGUUGACAUUACUUUUGUGAUGGACUGUAGAGGGAGAUGAAAACAGGGGAAGCCUAUGUGCAGUUUGAAGAGCCAGAAAUGGCCAACCAAGCCCUGCUGAAACACAGGGAAGAGAUUUGAUAACAGAUAAAUUGAGAUAUUUCCAAGCAGAAGGAAUGAAGUUCGAAUGCACAUUGAUGCUCAUAAAGGAAAGAAAAUAGCAUCUUCUCCUAUGGCUAAGUAUAUAACUGAGCCAGAAAUGGUCUUUGAAGAACAUUAAGGAAAUGAGGAUAUUUGACCCAUGAUAGCUUUUGAAAAUGAGAAGGAAAUAGAAUUACCUAAGGAGAUGUCAGAAAAGCUUCCAGAGGCUGUUGACUUUGGAGCUAUGCCUUCCCUGCAUUUCGUCCACAUGAGAAGAUUGCCUUUCCAAGCCAAUGCCCAAGACAUCAUAAUUUUUUUUUUGCUCCACUGAAGCCUGUUAGAAUCACCAUGGAGUACAACUCCAGCGGGAAGGCCCUGGGGAAGCUGAUGUCCAUUUCGAUACCCAUGAGGACACUGUCGCAGCAUGCCCGAGGACCGUCCCGCGUUCAUCAUCGGUAUGUUGAACUGUUCCUGAAUUCAUGUCCAAAAGGCAAAUAAGAGUUCCAGGGGCUCCAGAUGAUAAAUUAAGGAGGAAGCAGGAAGCGUUUCAUUUGCACAUCUUUCUCGGACAUGUGAUAUGAUGUUCCAGGUUUCUUUCAGCAGUAGCUGCUAGAGAAAGGGUUUUG